UUCCUGCAUCAGGCAGAGCACACAACGCCCCGCGGCACAACGGCCUGCUGCCUAUUUUUACACCAGUCGAUGGGAAAUGCUUGAUGUUAAUCAACAUGGCGUUCAACCCUGCUCUCGAUCUUCGCUGAGAGCAUUUCCAGCCAUUAUAAUGUUUUACUCGCUUGCUUUUUUAUGUAUAAAUAAGGAGCAUCUGUGAGGUCUGACGGAGGGAGUAAGCUGUGUGGCCAGGUUAUGUUUGACAGCUUCUGGACGUAGGCCUAUGUUGAGCUUUUAUGCUACGCCUACACCACACAAAGAAUAGACAAUUACCAUUUCCAAAAUUCCUUUAGUAACUCCUACUUCAACUGUUAAACUACGUAGACCUACAAAUAUUAUCAAGGCAAAUCUUACCCGAAUUACUAUGACCUUAUUUUUAGUCUUUUUAAACGUGUAAAAAUGUGCAGGUCUACACCUGUGCAGCGUACCCAGGCCUAUACCAUCUAUUGAACUCCAAUACUUGGGUAGGGUAAUUAGCACUUGCUUCAAAUGCGCUCCCGUUGUGACUACCGGUUUUUCCUGAAGAUGUGCCCCGGGCGCAUCAGAGCGAAAGAGUCCAAAUGCAACAGGUUGGAAGAGCAUUUGUGUGCUGCUGGUAGUCGUGUAGGGAGCGCUUCUCGGGUGAUAUGCUUCAGUGGGCGAGCUUUCCGUUUGAUCAACUGUUACUGUAUGAUCUAAACCAGGAUCGAGGGUGAUCUGCUUUUUAAGAAUCCAUUUUUCUCUUCAAUCUCUUGACACCUUUUUCAUGUUAUAAUGUAGUGUAAGAGAGGGAGGGAGAGGGAAAACAAAGAGAGCUCUCCUGAUGGGCGUGUGUCUCCUCCGUGUCUCAACACGGUGUGUUACGAGUAAAGAAACCACCACACUCACCUUUAUCGACUAGAUUACAGACGGAACUCUAUUAUGUCCUAAUCUGUAAGUGACUCGCAAUCAAUGAAAUACAUUCAAAGCCGAAGCAUUUGACCGCGUUUACAGCACCAGGAUCUGGACCUUUCUGCUACUCCUCCACCACCAUUAUUACAGUGGACCUGACAUCCUUUCGGACUUUAUUGUUGCCCAUACAGCUGGAAACUUUGCCUGCAAAUUUAAAAGUUCAUGAAUUUCAGUCAUUGUUUCUGGUAGUGUGUGCAACAACUCAAGCUCCCAAAGAGUUGCACCCGAUAGGUGGCCACUCAACUCAACUCAAAACCAUGGAAGUUUACCCCCUGGUGUUAUUAAGCGUGAACCGAGUUAGGCCUAUGAGAUGGCUCAUUCGACUUGGUACUAUUGAUGAAACCCAUAGCUACACUUAACAAAUAUCAUAUGGUAGAACUUCACUUUGUAUGUUACGCUAUAAUGCAAAACCAGUCCCACACCCACUAUAGAUGGUGAUUGUUAUGACAUGCGGUUGGCGAGUCCAUUGUGUCUGAAGAGGAUCCUUCUCCACUGGAUCUUCCCACUGACACAGUGAAUAUUGUUGUUACUUUUGCCUGUGUACUUGUCACAAGAGCGGCGGAAGGUAUAACUAGUGGCGGUGAUGGUGGUGGUGGUGAUAUUGUCGCAUGCAGGGUACUGCCAGUACUAUGUCAGGUAUGCUGGUUAACCAGUUCAACGCUCUCCUUCUGCUUCUACUGGGAGGAAGGCCUAUUGGGGUGUGACCUUAAGUCCAUCAUAGCAAUGGGUUAUUAAACAUGUAUAAACAAACAGUGCAGUGAAUGGCAUGGGAUUUAUCUGCAAUUGGAUUCUUUCGAGAUAAUCUGAACAUGCAUGAAAGCAUUGUCAUAUUGAUUGUA
Gadus macrocephalus (Pacific cod) is the source of this 1805-nucleotide long non-coding RNA. RefSeq lists it as uncharacterized. The transcript has 2 exons. NCBI's taxonomy places the organism in Eukaryota, Metazoa, Chordata, Actinopteri, Gadiformes, Gadidae. The record is from RefSeq and is a predicted model, not a curated record.